Molecule: long non-coding RNA, 974 nt
Organism: Paramisgurnus dabryanus
Lineage: Eukaryota; Metazoa; Chordata; Actinopteri; Cypriniformes; Cobitidae
Source: RefSeq, a predicted model, not a curated record
GUUAUAUAACAGGAUAUAGAAGAGGCAGAUCAUUAUUUUCACACUCCAUCACAGCAGGUGGCGGUAUGCACCUUUAAAGUUGGUUCGUAACCCGCCAUUAAACCAAAAGAAGAAGAUGAAGAUCGUAACGUCAGCUCAUCGUAAGCAUUAGAUUAUUCACCCAGUGUUUAUUCACAAGAUUGACCAAAUCUUAUUUAGAUGACCAAAUUAUGAACAAUGACCCACCCUGAGGCUGUAAGAGUGUGCCUGAUGAGAGAAUGCAUACUUGAACCAGUUAUAAGACUUAAUAUAUUCAAGAAGACCAAGCGAUCCUUAUAGGACUACAUGCAAAGCAAUGUACUCCAGACCGCACAACUGGACAUACAAAUUGUGCCCUGAUGCCAUCUGCCCCGUUCUCCCAGCCUCAUCUUCCCUCUCUAUGCCUAGCUUUAAAUCGGUUGGCUCUUCUUUUGGCUCUCUUCAUCCCGUCUGCCUGCCUCGCUGCUCUCCCUGAUAACAUUUCCUGACUGAUGCCUUGCACUCUGACUCUUUCUGCAAGGUGCCAUUCUGAGCAGUGACUCAAUUUAGUGCCACUCUGCUGCUUGGCAUUGCACUUCUGAGGUCAUCACCAUCUUUCUUCAGCCAACCAAAAUGAUUCUCACCAACCACCCCAGCUCUGCUAAGCUUGAUGUUGGAGGUCUGCUGUUUUUGAAGCAGGGGACCACUGUCCAUUAAAGGCUUCAUAAACCAUUUAACAAAAUCACAUAAGAUAGGGUAGUUCAUACUCCAUGCGAUGUGCCAUACAAUGGAAGGGCCAUGUUCCUUAUCACAUCUGGAUGCUGCAAAGCUCCUGUCUCCUCAACAAUUUACGAACUAAUCAAUUAUUAAAUGAAGAAAUGCUAUGUAAAUGCAAAGAUAUUUCUUCCUGUGGAAUUUGAGUCUUAAAUUUAGUAAUUACUGUUUUAUGGCAUAAAUAAAAGUUAAAUAUUAUAUUA